UGGGGAAUAUUGGGCAAUGGGGGCAACCCUGACCCAGCAACGCCGCGUGAAGGAAGAAGGCUUUCGGGUUGUAAACUUCUUUGACGAGGGACGAAAUAAAUGACGGUACCUCGAAAACAAGCCACGGCUAACUACGUGCCAGCAGCCGCGGUAAUACGUAGGUGGCAAGCGUUGUCCGGAUUUACUGGGUGUAAAGGGCGCGUAGGCGGGAGAACAAGUCAGAUGUGAAAUGCUGAGGCUUAACCUCAGAGCUGCAUUUGAAACUGUACUUCUUGAGUAUCGGAGAGGCAGGCGGAAUUCCUAGUGUAGCGGUGAAAUGCGUAGAUAUUAGGAGGAACACCAGUGGCGAAGGCGGCCUGCUGGACGACAACUGACGCUGAGGCGCGAAAGCGUGGGGAGCAAACAGG
Molecule: ribosomal RNA, 407 nt
Filed under: uncultured prokaryote
Also listed under: 1 other name
Description: bacterial SSU rRNA
Rfam family: Bacterial small subunit ribosomal RNA
Source: RNAcentral